CACGUAGGGGGCGAGCGUUGUCCGGAUUUAUUGGGCGUAAAGAGCUCGUAGGCGGUUUGUCGCGUCUGCUGUGAAAAUCCAGGGCUUAACCCUGGACCUGCAGUGGGUACGGGCAGACUAGAGUGCGGUAGGGGAGAUCGGAAUUCCUGGUGUAGCGGUGAAAUGCGCAGAUAUCAGGAGGAACACCGGUGGCGAAGGCGGAUCUCUGGGCCGUAACUGACGCUGAGGAGCGAAAGCGUGGGGAGCGAACAGG
This 253-nucleotide ribosomal RNA is filed under the name uncultured bacterium. Its description in RNAcentral is "partial 16S ribosomal RNA". It matches the Rfam family "Bacterial small subunit ribosomal RNA", at positions 524 to 776 of the family's 1533-position model. The record is from RNAcentral.